ACACAAGGGGGCACAAAUGUGUGCCUUUGGUUGUGCACGUAAUGGGGCACAACUGUGUGCAUUUUGUUGGGCACAGAAUGGGGCACAAAUGUGAGCUUUUUGUGCCUUUUGGUUGUGCACAUAAUGGGGCACAAAUGUAUACCUGGUGUGCCUUUGUUCUGGGACACAAUGGGGCACAAAUUUGUGCCUGGUGUGCGUUUUGGUGCGGGACACAAUGUGCCACAAAAGUUUGCCUUGUGUGCCUUUGUUUGGGCACAGAAUAGGGCACAAAUGUGUGCUUUUUGUGCCUUUUGGUUGGUCACACAAUGGGGCACAAUUGCGUGCCUUGUGUUCCUUUUGGUUUGGCCCAGAAUGGGGCAGAAAUGUGUGCUUUGUGUGCCUUUGGUUGAGAAUACAAUGGGGCACAAAGGGGUGCCUUGUAUGUCUUUUGGUAGGACACACAUUGGGCACAAAUGUGUGCCUUGUUUUCCUUUUUUUGGGGCAUACAAAGGAGCACAAAUGUGUGCCUUGGUUUUUUUGAGGGGAACAAAAUGGAGCACAAAUGUGUGCCUGGUGUGCCUUUGUUUGAGCACAGAAUGGGGCACAAAUGUGUGCCUUUGGUUGGGCACAGAGCGGGGCCAAGUAGAAGAGACUUUGUUGGGGGCAGCCUGGGAAUGUCUUUGGUGGCCUUGGCAUGCGUCAGGAGGCGGGACAGAAGAGGCAGUGUCUCUUGGAGUGGUCGAGCUCAGGCAGCAGCUCCCAGGUAGGUUGCGCCAGGCGUUUUUUGGGGGGGAGGGAUGGAUAGACCGUGGUUGCCUUUGUAGUGGCUGUGUUUCCUUUUUAUGCAUUUGGAUUUUGAGAGCAGAGAAAUGGGAUAAUGCUGGUCAGACAGCGGAGGUGCUUGAGGAGCAGGCACUGUCAGUUGUAUCCCCCAAGCGCAGGAGCUGCCCAGGCCGUGGCAGUUAGCUGUGUGAGUGGCUGUGGCAGGUAGGAGACAGUUGCAUUUGGGAAGGCUGUGUCAGUGCAGGCAGGGUAGCAGGUGUUGCAGGAAAGAGUGUGAGGAUGCGGGUGAGGUUUUAGCUGAGUGUGAGAGCAU
This 1075-nucleotide long non-coding RNA is filed under the name Apteryx haastii (Great spotted kiwi). RNAcentral's name for it is "lncRNA (ENSAHAG00000006276.1)". Lineage: Eukaryota; Metazoa; Chordata; Aves; Apterygiformes; Apterygidae. The record is from RNAcentral.